This 495-nucleotide ribosomal RNA is filed under the name uncultured bacterium. Its description in RNAcentral is "partial 16S ribosomal RNA". It matches the Rfam family "Bacterial small subunit ribosomal RNA", at positions 28 to 507 of the family's 1533-position model. The record is from RNAcentral.
GACGAACGCUGGCGGCGUGCCUAAUACAUGCAAGUAGAACGCUGAAGGAGGAGCUUGCCUCUCCGGAUGAGUUGCGAACGGGUGAGUAACGCGUAGGUAACCUGCCUGGUAGCGGGGGAUAACUAUUGGAAACGAUAGCUAAUACCGCAUAACAGUAGAUGUUGCAUGACAUUUGCUUAAAAGGUGCAAUUGCAUCACUACCAGAUGGACCUGCGUUGUAUUAGCUAGUUGGUGAGGUAACGGCUCACUAAGGCGACGAUACAUAGCCGACCUGAGAGGGUGAUCGGCCACACUGGGACUGAGACACGGCCCAGACUCCUACGGGAGGCAGCAGUAGGGAAUCUUCGGCAAUGGACGGAAGUCUGACCGAGCAACGCCGCGUGAGUGAAGAAGGGUUUCGGAUCGUAAAGCUCUGUUGUAAGAGAAGAACGAGUGUGAGAGUGGAAAGUUCACACUGUGACGGUAUCUUACCAGAAAGGGACGGCUAACUACGUG